This 1581-nucleotide ribosomal RNA is filed under the name Escherichia coli. RNAcentral describes it as "partial 23S ribosomal RNA". It matches the Rfam family "Bacterial large subunit ribosomal RNA", at positions 1 to 1617 of the family's 2925-position model. Lineage: Bacteria; Pseudomonadati; Pseudomonadota; Gammaproteobacteria; Enterobacterales; Enterobacteriaceae. The record is from RNAcentral.
GGGUUGUGAGGUUAAGCGACUAAGCGUACACGGUGGAUGCCCUGGCAGUCAGAGGCGAUGAAGGACGUGCUAAUCUGCGAUAAGCGUCGGUAAGGUGAUAUGAACCGUUAUAACCGGCGAUUUCCGAAUGGGGAAACCCAGUGUGAUUCGUCACACUAUCAUUAACUGAAUCCAUAGGUUAAUGAGGCGAACCGGGGGAACUGAAACAUCUAAGUACCCCGAGGAAAAGAAAUCAACCGAGAUUCCCCCAGUAGCGGCGAGCGAACGGGGAGGAGCCCAGAGCCUGAAUCAGUGUGUGUGUUAGUGGAAGCGUCUGGAAAGGCGCGCGAUACAGGGUGACAGCCCCGUACACAAAAAUGCACAUACUGUGAGCUCGAUGAGUAGGGCGGGACACGUGGUAUCCUGUCUGAAUAUGGGGGGACCAUCCUCCAAGGCUAAAUACUCCUGACUGACCGAUAGUGAACCAGUACCGUGAGGGAAAGGCGAAAAGAACCCCGGCGAGGGGAGUGAAAAAGAACCUGAAACCGUGUACGUACAAGCAGUGGGAGCCUCUUAAUGGGGUGACUGCGUACCUUUUGUAUAAUGGGUCAGCGACUUAUAUUCUGUAGCAAGGUUAACCGAAUAGGGGAGCCGAAGGGAAACCGAGUCUUAACUGGGCGUUAAGUUGCAGGGUAUAGACCCGAAACCCGGUGAUCUAGCCAUGGGCAGGUUGAAGGUUGGGUAACACUAACUGGAGGACCGAACCGACUAAUGUUGAAAAAUUAGCGGAUGACUUGUGGCUGGGGGUGAAAGGCCAAUCAAACCGGGAGAUAGCUGGUUCUCCCCGAAAGCUAUUUAGGUAGCGCCUCGUGAAUUCAUCUCCGGGGGUAGAGCACUGUUUCGGCAAGGGGGUCAUCCCGACUUACCAACCCGAUGCAAACUGCGAAUACCGGAGAAUGUUAUCACGGGAGACACACGGCGGGUGCUAACGUCCGUCGUGAAGAGGGAAACAACCCAGACCGCCAGCUAAGGUCCCAAAGUCAUGGUUAAGUGGGAAACGAUGUGGGAAGGCCCAGACAGCCAGGAUGUUGGCUUAGAAGCAGCCAUCAUUUAAAGAAAGCGUAAUAGCUCACUGGUCGAGUCGGCCUGCGCGGAAGAUGUAACGGGGCUAAACCAUGCACCGAAGCUGCGGCAGCGACGCUGAUGCGUUGUUGGGUAGGGGAGCGUUCUGUAAGCCUGUGAAGGUGGCCUGUGAGGGUUGCUGGAGGUAUCAGAAGUGCGAAUGCUGACAUAAGUAACGAUAAAGCGGGUGAAAAGCCCGCUCGCCGGAAGACCAAGGGUUCCUGUCCAACGUUAAUCGGGGCAGGGUGAGUCGACCCCUAAGGCGAGGCCGAAAGGCGUAGUCGAUGGGAAACAGGUUAAUAUUCCUGUACUUGGUGUUACUGCGAAGGGGGGACGGAGAAGGCUAUGUUGGCCGGGCGACGGUUGUCCCGGUUUAAGCGUGUAGGCUGGUUUUCCAGGCAAAUCCGGAAAAUCAAGGCUGAGGCGUGAUGACGAGGCACUACGGUGCUGAAGCGACAAAUGCCCUGCUUCCAGGAAAAG